This 61-nucleotide transfer RNA is filed under the name Pyrocoelia pygidialis. RNAcentral's name for it is "tRNA-His". Lineage: Eukaryota; Metazoa; Arthropoda; Insecta; Coleoptera; Lampyridae. The record is from RNAcentral.
UAAAAUUUAUUUUAGGUGUAGAAGCUUAAAUAUUGAGUCUGUUCGACUUUUAAAAUUUUAC